UACGAAGGGGGCUAGCGUUGCUCGGAAUUACUGGGCGUAAAGCGCACGUAGGCGGAUUGUUAAGUCGGGGGUGAAAUCCUGGAGCUCAACUCCAGAACUGCCUUCGAUACUGGCGAUCUCGAGUUCGGGAGAGGUGAGUGGAACUGCGAGUGUAGAGGUGAAAUUCGUAGAUAUUAGGAAGAACACCGGUGGCGAAGGCGGCCCGCUGGAUCGGUACUGACGCUGAGGUGCGAAAGCGUGGGGAGCAAACAGG
Molecule: ribosomal RNA, 253 nt
Filed under: uncultured bacterium
Lineage: Bacteria
Description: partial 16S ribosomal RNA
Rfam family: Bacterial small subunit ribosomal RNA
Source: RNAcentral